GACGAACGCUGGCGGCGUGCCUAAUACAUGCAAGUAGAACGCUGAAGGAGGAGCUUGCUCUUCUGGAUGAGUUGCGAACGGGUGAGUAACGCGUAGGUAACCUGCCUGGUAGCGGGGGAUAACUAUUGGAAACGAUAGCUAAUACCGCAUAACAGUAGAUGUUGCAUGACAUUUACUUAAAAGGUGCAAUUGCAUCACUACCAGAUGGACCUGCGUUGUAUUAGCUAGUUGGUGGGGUAACGGCUCACCAAGGUGACGAUACAUAGCCGACCUGAGAGGGUGAUCGGCCACACUGGGACUGAGACACGGCCCAGACUCCUACGGGAGGCAGCAGUAGGGAAUCUUCGGCAAUGGACGGAAGUCUGACCGAGCAACGCCGCGUGAGUGAAGAAGGUUGUCGGAUCGUAAAGCUCUGUUGUAAGAGAAGGACGAGUGUGAGAGUGGAAAGUUCACACUGUGACGGUAUCUUACCAGAAAGGGACGGCUAACUACGUG
Molecule: ribosomal RNA, 495 nt
Filed under: uncultured bacterium
Lineage: Bacteria
Description: partial 16S ribosomal RNA
Rfam family: Bacterial small subunit ribosomal RNA
Source: RNAcentral